Molecule: long non-coding RNA, 2099 nt
Organism: Oreochromis niloticus (Nile tilapia)
Lineage: Eukaryota; Metazoa; Chordata; Actinopteri; Cichliformes; Cichlidae
Exons: 6
Source: RefSeq, a predicted model, not a curated record
CUGUGUUGCAAGAGGUGGUGUGGACAGUUAAAACGACCCUAAUAAAAGUGUCAGCGUCGGGCUUUUAAUCGUGACGAGCUAUCUAUCCACAGCAUUCGGUGUCCUCUUCUUUACUGGUGCAACACCUGGAACAGCAGUGACAACAGUCCUUCAAAGGUUCGUAGAUGUAUCCAUCUUACGCACGAGCCAAGUACUCUGUCUCCUUACAUUUCCCAGCAACAAAACCUUUUAUUUCUUUUUUGUUGCUCUUAUCAAAUAACUUCGCUCUACUCCUCAGCAGUUCUUGAUAAAAGAAAACAAAUGAAGUGACAGACUAAUAAGGAGCGGCUUACACUAAACCAGUAGGUUUCCGCCUCCGAAACUUUGAUGAAGAAACACCUGUCCUCCAUCCUGAUUGGAUUGGACGCUUUGCGCUUGUCACGUGAACACGGUUCAGGUGAAUACAUUGGGAUGGUAGGCGGGGCGUGUCGUUGCACUGCAACAUACCCCCACGGGAUCGUGCAGCCUCCCCGGUGACAACAAAAAGAAAAGAAAAAAAGAUUCCUUUGUCAAAGCGGCCCAACCCUAAACCAGAGAGCCAAAUUACGUUUCAGUGUUUGGACGUCCUGUUUUUUAGGCUCUGGCUUGUCGUGCAAAGGAGAAGAAUGAGGCAGCCUUGCUGAGAGUUGAUAUUUAACUUCAGCCCCACCAGAUAAAGAAAGCACCCAUGCAAUUGUUUUGAGAGGGAGAUCUGCAAAAUAAAGAUUAGCCUCCAAUGCCGAGAACACUGACCUGAUUAUUCAGGGUGAAAAUACAGAAGAAGAGCAUUUGUCCCUUGAAACAGUAAAGCAUGUGGAGAAUCCACACAGUCACAAGUAUGCAGCAGCCAUGCAGAGGAAAUGAACACUUUUAGUCACUUUAGGCAUAUAAACAAAAGAAUGCAGAUAGACGCACAUGAACCUAGAACUGCACCUAACCAUGAUCUUUCCAUUAUUUUUCCGAUGAAUACUCCUGGCAAUGACUAAACAAUCCAGAGAUUCUUAAAUAGCACCAGCAAGUAAUCAACAGACCGCAAGAUAUUUUCUCUAUGGUGUUAAUAAAGUGCUUUAUCUACCUCGCAUCCAUGGCCAGUUUUGAAUAGCCAAUAAGCGGAACAUGUGUCUGGGACUGUGGGAGCAAGCCAGGAAACCCUCGCAGGGACAACAUGCAAACUUUGAACCAGGAAACUGCUUGGUGCCAGGCAGCAUUGCUAACCACUGACAAAACCAGCAUUCGGUUAAAUUUCUGACUCAUCUACAUUAUUGUACAAAAGUCUUGAACCAACCAGCAUUACCUCUGCCAAAUAGAUUAUGGUUUUGGUAAUAUGUGUGCGUGUAUGUGCCUGUAAACAUAGUAGCUCAAAAUGUUUUGAAUAAAUUCUGUUAAAAUUGUAUAGAGUGUGGUCAUGCGGGAAUCCAUUAAAAUUUGGCUUAUAUCUGCCAAGGUCUUCAAAUUCUAUUUACUGAUUUAUUGGUGGAAAUUAUAACGAAAAGCCUUAUAACUUACAAACUAUGAUUCAUACAAGGGUUUUGUGUAUUGUCAAGCUGUAGAAAGUAACAUAGGAUUUAACAUAGGAUGGUAUUUAAAAUACUGUGUCACAUUUGACCUCUGACCUGUCCUUCAAAGUCAAUAAAUUGAUCUCAUGGUCAAAGUGAGCGAUUUUAAAUGACAAUUGGUUUUCAGACUGACGAGAACAGGUUGACAAGGGAUACUUUUUGUGUACAGUUGAUUAAUUUUAUUACGACUUUGUUAUGUAAAUUAUAGUAAAAUGUCCUAACUGUUUAAAUUCAUCACAAUUUGAAUACAAAUACAAUGUAUCUGAAUAAGUAUUUUUUUGGAAAACAAACUAUCAGAAAUGUCUUUAACUUGAUACAUAUCACUGUCAAGUAUGUUUAAAUGGGUUUCAACAGGGCAAAUAACAAAAGGCUGCACUUUGCACUUGUUUUUACUGCACUACAAACGUGUUUGUUAAGCCACUUAACACUGACCUUUGAACCAUUCAAGCAUAAAAAGGCACCUAACUCAAGGGAUGAAUCAGUGUUAUGUCUACAGUUUAGCAAAGAACCAGUUUUAAAAUGUAA